GCAAUCCCGCGAGCGGUUCUCCUCCUCCCAACCGCUCCGGGUCGGUGGCCGGCUUCUCCUCCCGCCGGCGAUCAUGGAAAGGACCGGGUCCUCCCCCCGGUCUUUUUCU
RNAcentral lists this small RNA (109 nucleotides) under Mesorhizobium australicum. RNAcentral's name for it is "Alphaproteobacterial ar14". It matches the Rfam family "Alphaproteobacterial ar14". From Rfam's summary of the family: Smr14C2 was renamed NfeR1 (Nodule Formation Efficiency RNA) highly expressed in salt stress and during the symbiotic interaction on legume roots. The record is from Rfam by way of RNAcentral. Lineage: Bacteria; Pseudomonadati; Pseudomonadota; Alphaproteobacteria; Hyphomicrobiales; Phyllobacteriaceae.